UACAGGGGGGGCAAGCGUUGUUCGGAAUUACUGGGCGUAAAGGGCUCGUAGGCGGCCAACUAAGUCCGACGUGAAAUCCCAAAGCUUAACUUUGGAACUGCGUCGGAUACUGGAUGGCUUGAAUCCGGAAGAGGGAUGCGGAAUUCCAGGUGUAGCGGUGAAAUGCGUAGAUAUCUGGAGGAACACCGGUGGCGAAGGCGGCAUCCUGGGUCGGUAUUGACGCUGAGGCACGAAGGCCAGGGGAGCAAACGGG
This 253-nucleotide ribosomal RNA is filed under the name uncultured bacterium. RNAcentral's name for it is "partial 16S ribosomal RNA". It matches the Rfam family "Bacterial small subunit ribosomal RNA", at positions 524 to 776 of the family's 1533-position model. The record is from RNAcentral.